GACGAACGCUGGCGGCGUGCUUAACACAUGCAAGUCGAACGGAAAGGCCCUGCUUUUGUGGGGUGCUCGAGUGGCGAACGGGUGAGUAACACGUGAGUAACCUGCCUUGACUUUGGGAUAACUUCAUGAAACUGGGGCUAAUACCGGAUAGGAGCUCCUGCUGCAUGGUGGGGGUUGGAAAGUUUCGGCGGUUGGGGAUGGACUCGCGGCUUAUCAGCUUGUUGGUGGGGUAGUGGCUUACCAAGGCUUUGACGGGUAGCCGGCCUGAGAGGGUGACCGGCCACAUUAGGACUGAGAUACGGCCCAGACUCCUACGGGAGGCAGCAGUGGGGAAUAUUGCACAAUGGGCGGAAGCCUGAUGCAGCAACGCCGCGUGCGGGAUGACGGCCUUCGGGUUGUAAACCGCUUUCGCCUGUGACGAAGCGUGAGUGACGGUAAUGGGUAAAGAAGCACCGGCUAACUACGUG
This 467-nucleotide ribosomal RNA is filed under the name uncultured bacterium. RNAcentral's name for it is "partial 16S ribosomal RNA". It matches the Rfam family "Bacterial small subunit ribosomal RNA", at positions 28 to 507 of the family's 1533-position model. The record is from RNAcentral.